GAAAGAAUAUCGGAGACGGAUGGGCAUGCGGCGCAUUAGCUGGUUGGCGGGGUAACGGCCCACCAAGGCGACGAUGCGUAGGGGUUCUGAGAGGAAGGUCCCCCACACUGGUACUGAGACACGGACCAGACUCCUACGGGAGGCAGCAGUGAGGAAUAUUGGUCAAUGGGCGAGAGCCUGAACCAGCCAAGUCGCGUGAGGGAGUACUGCCCUAUGGGUUGUAAACCUCUUUUGUCGGGGAGCAAAAGCCGGACGUGUCCGGCUGUGAGAGUACCCGAAGAAAAAGCAUCGGCUAACUCCGUGCCAGCAGCCGCGGUAAUACGGAGGAUGCGAGCGUUAUCCGGAUUUAUUGGGUUUAAAGGGUGCGCAGGCGGAUUUUUAAGUCAGCGGUCAAAUCGUGGGGCUCAACCCCAUCCAGCCGUUGAAACUGGGGAUCUAGAGUGUGCGAGAGGUAUGCGGAAUGCGUGGUGUAGCGGUGAAAUGCAUAGAUAUCACGCAGAACCCCGAUUGCGAAGGCAGCAUACCGGUGCACAACUGACGCUCAGGCACGAAAGCGUGGGUAUCGAACAGGAUUAGAUACCCUGGUAGUCCACGCAGUAAACG
Molecule: ribosomal RNA, 603 nt
Filed under: uncultured bacterium
Lineage: Bacteria
Description: bacterial SSU rRNA
Rfam family: Bacterial small subunit ribosomal RNA
Source: RNAcentral